AUUACAGAUUUAUUUCUUCCAAAAGUAUUACAUCUAUUUAUAUACAUUGUGGAAAAGUAGAUAGAACAAAUAUUAAAGUUUGGAGAAAAAGUUUCUUUGUAUUUUAAUGUAAAGAUUUUUUUAGAAAUCAGUUUUACACCGUUAAAGGAAUUCUGCAGAGACUCGAACAAAUGGUAGUCUGAUGGUGCCAGGUCAGGAAUAUACGGUGGGUGUAUUAAAACUUCCUAGCCAAGUUCUUUCAAGUUUUGAUGGGUUACCAAUGAUGUGUCAAGUUUAGCGCUAUCGUAAUGGAAGAUGACAUCUUUCUUAUUAAUCAAUUCUGGUCGUUUUAUCUCAAUAGUCUUUUGGUCAUGUAAUCAUCAAUUGUUUGGCAUAAUCUUUCCAGUUAUUGAUAGUAGGGAUUAGAAUCAAUCAUUUGACCAAGCAGCAGCAGCUUAUAGUGAACAAUUGCUUUGCAAUCUCACCAUAGCAUCAUUAUUUUUAAUGUAAAUCCUGGCUUUGCCACUGUCUGUGGAGCUUUACCUUCCUUCGAUCAUGUUCGACUUUCCGUUCAUUAUUGUUAUAUGUGAUCUAUUUUUCAUUACCCGUAAUGAGUCGUUUCAAAAAUGGUUCAAUCUUGUUCUAUUUUAGCAACGAUUCGCUGAUAGAAAUUCGAUCUAUUAAAUUUUUCAUUGUUAAAUCAUGUGGCACACAAAUAUCGAGUUUUUUUUUGUAUUCAGCCUUUUUGAAAUGGUUUAAAACUGUUUUAUAAUCAAUAUUUAGUUCUUUAGCGACGUCAUGAUUGCUAAUAUGUCAGUCUUAUUUAAUUUUUUCCAUGAUUUCAUUAAAUUUUUCA
This is a long non-coding RNA of Vespa mandarinia (Asian giant hornet), 835 nucleotides long. NCBI's taxonomy places the organism in Eukaryota, Metazoa, Arthropoda, Insecta, Hymenoptera, Vespidae. The record is from RefSeq and is a predicted model, not a curated record.